AGCCUGGUACGCUACAUAUACCCUACAUAACACUGUUGGAACUGGUCCUACUACCACGGUCUAGAGAAGGCCCUGAAGCCUGGUACGCUACAUAUACCCUACAUAACACUGUUAUAUCUGGUCCUACUACCACGGUCUGGAGAAGGCCCUGAAGCCCGGUACGCUACAUAUACCCUAUAUGAGAGGUUCUCAUAAUUGUUGUGUUCUGGGUUCCCCUGUAAUCAGAAUACAGUGAGAUGAAAAAUAGCGUACGAGGAAUUCUACUAUGACAUCAGCAGUGCAUGUUCGGAUGAACCGAGUCUCGGCCCUGGGAAGGACCAUUUUUAAAGACUCAUCUCUUGAAAUUGGAGCGAGCAUUUAGCAGUUUUCAUGCAAAUUUCCUGCAAUUCUACACAUUUUGCCAUUAGGGUAGAGAGAACUUAGCCGUUUUAAAGCUUACAUCUCAGUAAAUACAGUAUAUCACAAAAGUGAGUACACCCCUCACAUUUUUGUAAAUAUUUGAGUAUAUCUUUUCAUGUGACAACACUGAAGAAAUGACACUUUGCUACAAUGUAAAGUAGUGAGUGUACAGCUUGUAUAACAUAGUAAAUUUUCUGUCCCCAGAGUAGCAGGUAGGGGAGAGACACUCUGACUCUGUACCACACAGAGUAGCAGGUAGGAGAGACACUCUGACUCUGUACCACACAGAGUAGCAGGUAGGAGAGACACUCUGGCUCUGUACCACACAGAGUAGCAGGUAGGGGGGGAGACACUCUGACUCUGUACCACACAGAGUAGCAGGUAGGGGGGGAGACACUCUGUUGCCAAAUGUUGCAGAUAAAAACAACAAGAUUCGUUGUUCUGCAUGUUUGUUCUACGUAACAUAUUUCUAUCUGAAUGUUCCAAAACGUUUUGUGUCCUGCUGAACUCGCCCCAGGCCUCACUCUUCCUCCUUCCUCUCUCUCUUCUUCCUCUCUCUCUUCUUGCUCUCUCUUCUUCCUCUCUCUCUUCUUCCCCUCUCUUCUUCCUCUCUCUCUUCUUCCUCUCUCUCUUCUUCCUCUCUCUCUUCUUCCUCUCUCUCUUCUUCCUCUCUCUCUUCUUCCAUCUCUCUUCUUUCUCUCUCUCUUCUUCCUCUCU
Oncorhynchus tshawytscha (Chinook salmon) is the source of this 1116-nucleotide long non-coding RNA. Lineage: Eukaryota; Metazoa; Chordata; Actinopteri; Salmoniformes; Salmonidae. The record is from Ensembl.